GACGAACGCUGGCGGCGUGCCUAAUACAUGCAAGUUGAGCGCUGAAGGUUGGUACUUGUACCAACUGGAUGAGCAGCGAACGGGUGAGUACCGCGUGGGGAAUCUGCCUUUGAGCGGGGGACAACAUUUGGAAACGAAUGCUAAUACCGCAUAAAAACUUUAAACACAAGUUUUAAGUUUGAAAGAUGCAAUUGCAUCACUCAAAGAUGAUCCCGCGUUGUAUUAGCUAGUUGGUGAGGUAAAGGCUCACCAAGGCGAUGAUACAUAGCCGACCUGAGAGGGUGAUCGGCCACAUUGGGACUGAGACACGGCCCAAACUCCUACGGGAGGCAGCAGUAGGGAAUCUUCGGCAAUGGACGAAAGUCUGACCGAGCAACGCCGCGUGAGUGAAGAAGGGUUUCGGAUCGUAAAACUCUGUUGGUAGAGAAGAACGUUGGUGAGAGUGGAAAGCUCAUCAAGUGACGGUAACUACACAGAAAGGGACGGCUAACUACGUG
RNAcentral lists this ribosomal RNA (497 nucleotides) under uncultured bacterium. RNAcentral describes it as "partial 16S ribosomal RNA". It matches the Rfam family "Bacterial small subunit ribosomal RNA", at positions 28 to 507 of the family's 1533-position model. The record is from RNAcentral.